AACGAACGCUGGCGGCAUGCUUAACACAUGCAAGUCGAACGGGAUCCAGGCCUUCGGGUCUGGUGAGAGUGGCGCACGGGUGAGUAACGCGUGGGAACCUGCCCAGUGGUAGGGGAUAACUGCGGGAAACUGCAGCUAAUACCCUAUGUGUCCUAUGGGAGAAAGAUUUAUCGCCAUUGGAGGGGCCCGCGUCGGAUUAGGUAGUUGGUGGGGUAAUGGCCCACCAAGCCUGCGAUCCGUAGCUGGUCUGAGAGGAUGAUCAGCCACACUGGGACUGAGACACGGCCCAGACACCUACGGGAGGCAG
RNAcentral lists this ribosomal RNA (307 nucleotides) under uncultured Pseudomonadota bacterium. Its description in RNAcentral is "bacterial SSU rRNA". It matches the Rfam family "Bacterial small subunit ribosomal RNA", at positions 29 to 351 of the family's 1533-position model. The record is from RNAcentral. Lineage: Bacteria; Pseudomonadati; Pseudomonadota.